GGUCCAGCUGCAGAAGACUGUAGAGUGGAACUCCACAGGAAAUAUGUCAGCUCCACAGGAAACACGUGAUCUUUAAGAACGUAAAGUGGGGCUAAUCUUUACGCCGUAAAAUGGAGCUCCACAGGAAACACGCCAUCUACACUGUGUUUGUACCAAGAGAGAGUCUGGACUAAGUCUUCGAACCUGAAUUGCCAUUACAUUAAAAGGAACAUUGUUUUAUAAACCAAAUUGUAAACAUGGAUCCCCGUUUAAAAGCGGCUUUGCUUUUUCAAGACAAAAUUAUACGGCGGUGCACACUACCAUGCCGGGACAAGGUACAUUGUCACCCGGACUUGGCUUCCUCCCUACAACUGUGAGCCACUUCAAUCCCUUCCUAAUGAUGCAGAGAGGAAGGACAUUAUUGUGUUCCCACUAUGGACUCCUGGGCAUUUUUAG
This is a long non-coding RNA of Brienomyrus brachyistius, 435 nucleotides long. RefSeq lists it as uncharacterized. Lineage: Eukaryota; Metazoa; Chordata; Actinopteri; Osteoglossiformes; Mormyridae. The transcript has 4 exons. The record is from RefSeq and is a predicted model, not a curated record.